Apus apus (common swift) is the source of this 581-nucleotide long non-coding RNA. RefSeq lists it as uncharacterized. The record is from RefSeq and is a predicted model, not a curated record. The transcript is spliced from 2 exons. NCBI's taxonomy places the organism in Eukaryota, Metazoa, Chordata, Aves, Apodiformes, Apodidae.
GAAUCAAAGUGCUCGGGUGGCUUUGAAGAGUUUCCAUGGGAGAUGAAAUCAGGUUCUGUGCAGGAGCUGCUCAAGCUGGAGCUGCUGGUGGGACAGGGGCUUGGGCUGCAGACAAAGCCCACCAGGCUGCACGCUGGCAAUCCUGUGCCAGGAAAGCCAACCAGCAGAGGAACCUUUCAGAGGACGAUGUGGAGAUGCCAGAGCUGCUCAAAGGGCACCCUGUGCUUCACAGACCCUCAGGUCCCCAGGACACACAGGGAAAAAUAACUGCAGGUCCCUGUGCAGCCAGCGAGUCUGAAGACAACCUCACCUCCUGGAGGAAAGUGCCCAGGCUGGGUUGUUGUGCUUUGAGAUGUGGGAUGAAGGGUGGACGUGGAGGGACCAGAGACCAUCCCACCGUGGGCUUGAGGACAGGCAGACGGUGCUUGUGUGAUCUGGAGCUCAGCAGCACAGGCUGUGCCUGCCAGCAAGCCCCGGGGAGCACAGAAGGCCUGGGAAGCCAGCCUGCAUGUAGCUGAUUUGUUGUUUGAUAUUUUUCCCUUUCCUGGGUGUUUGUCCUUAAAUAAAUACACAAAAGUUCA